CGGGUUCUGUCCUGUGCGUUGUUUAUUUUAUCCCUGGGGCGAUAAUCUUUCCGAAGGGAGCUGUCCCUGUCCGGAUCGUGGUCCGGUUAUUACGGCGCCCACCUGUUUAAACAGGUUCCGGAGGAUACAACUGAAUGACGGCAGAUACGGUCCCCGC
This 157-nucleotide non-coding RNA is filed under the name Alphaproteobacteria bacterium. RNAcentral describes it as "6S RNA". It matches the Rfam family "6S / SsrS RNA". From Rfam's summary of the family: E. coli 6S RNA was the first non coding RNA to be sequenced, but its function was unknown until recently. It consists of 184 nucleotides that fold into an extended hairpin structure with a large single-stranded internal bulge. The 6S RNA specifically associates with RNA polymerase holoenzyme containing the sigma70 specificity factor. The record is from RNAcentral. Lineage: Bacteria; Pseudomonadati; Pseudomonadota; Alphaproteobacteria.